CCGCUAUCAUGCAGUCGAGCGAGAAGGUGUAGCAAUACACUUGUAAAGCGGCGAACGGGUGAGGAAUACAUGGGUAACCUACCCUCGAGUGGGGAAUAACUAGCCGAAAGGUUAGCUAAUACCGCGUACGCCUCCCGGACUUCGGUUCGGGAGGGAAAGCGAUACCGUGGGUAUCGCGCUCCUGGAUGGGCUCAUGCCCUAUCAGCUUGUUGGUGAGGUAACGGCUCACCAAGGCUUCGACGGGUAGCUGAUCUGAGAGGAUGAUCAGCCACACUGGCACUGCGACACGGGCCAGACUCCUACGGGAGGCAGCAGUAAGGAAUAUUGCGCAAUGGGCGAAAGCCUGACGCAGCGACGCCGCGUGGGGGAUGAAGGUCUUCGGAUUGUAAACCCCUUUCGGGAGGGAAGAUGGGAUGGGGUAACCCAUUCGGACGGUACCUCCAGAAGCAGCCACGGCUAACUUCGUGCCAGCAGCCGCGGUAAUACGAAGGUGGCAAGCGUUGUUCGGAUUCACUGGGCGUACAGGGAGCGUAGGCGGUUGGGUAAGCCCUCCGUGAAAUCUCCAGGCUUAACCUGGAAAGUGCAGAGGGGACUGCUCAGCUAGAGGGUGGGAGAGGAGCGCGGAAUUCCCGGUGUAGCGGUGAAAUGCGUAGAGAUCGGGAGGAAAGGCCGGUGGCGAUGGCGGCGCUCUGGAACAUUUCUGACGCUGAGCUCGAAAGCGUGGGGAGCAAACAGGAUUAGAUACCCUGGUAGUCCACGCCUUAAACGAUGGAUACUAAGUGUCGGCGGGUUACCGCCGGUGCCGCAG
Molecule: ribosomal RNA, 808 nt
Filed under: uncultured bacterium
Lineage: Bacteria
Description: bacterial SSU rRNA
Rfam family: Bacterial small subunit ribosomal RNA
Source: RNAcentral